UAUUCUUACCUCCGCUGGCUGGCCAGUAAAUUCACAAGUGUAGGUGGUAUGCUAUACGAGAGGCAAGUCUUUUAUUAACACCACAAAGAUCUCUGGCCCAAUGAGUGGAAUUCGAUAGUAAAUCUUGCUGCAAGU
This is a small nucleolar RNA of Vulpes vulpes (red fox), 135 nucleotides long. The record is from Ensembl. Lineage: Eukaryota; Metazoa; Chordata; Mammalia; Carnivora; Canidae.